AGUUUAAAAAUUUAUAAUCUCUAUAUUAAUUGUGUUUAUAUAAUAGAAAUAUUAAAAACGGAAGUUUCUUCAAGAAAUAUACUGUUUUUUUUAUAUUUUUAAUAGAAGUUAUUUAAAGUCUCUCGAAUUAAAUUAAUUGGAAUAAAAAAGAAUUUUGAAUUACGACCUUGAAAAAAAAAUCAAUAAUCAUUAUGGCGGGAUUGUCGGUUAUAUUUUGUUACUUCCGGUUCAUUGUAGCGUCUCUUGGCCUGUCUUGUCGCUUGUUUGUUGCGAAAGUUUACCAUUAUUUCAUCCAUCGGACAUUCCAGAAUAUAAUAAAAUACGUCAUUUGAAACUAAAAUUGCAUCUAUUUCAAAAGUGAUAAAUGGGAAAUUCAAUUAUGGACGGGGAAAUUGAUAAAAAGUUGCAAUUUGGAAAUGAUAGAGAGCACAUUCAGGGACCUCAGGGACACAAAGUUCAUCUGUAAUCGUCUCGUGAAUUUACGAAAUGUUUUGUCCCAAAGAAGAAAGAAAAGAUUGUUUUUAACGAUUAUUAAAGAGACUCGUUGCAAAUCGGAAAUAAGUUGGAAACAAUAGGAAAUUUUCAUAGCCACAAACAAGUUGGAGCUUUCUUCGAGAAAUCGCCAAACACCAGGUGAGUGGAUUUGAAAUCAAAGGCAUUCCUAAAUAAAUCAAGCGCGAAUAAUCUUUUUGAUGAUAUAUAUUCGAGGUAAAAGCGAAUCAAAAAUACAAAGAAAGAAAGA
Long non-coding RNA from Leptopilina heterotoma, 742 nucleotides. RefSeq lists it as uncharacterized. The record is from RefSeq and is a predicted model, not a curated record. NCBI's taxonomy places the organism in Eukaryota, Metazoa, Arthropoda, Insecta, Hymenoptera, Figitidae. The transcript is spliced from 3 exons.